GUGCCAGCCGCCGCGGUAAUACCGGCAGCACAAGUGAUGGCCGAUCUUAUUGGGCCUAAAGCGUCCGUAGCCGGCCGGACAAGUCCGUUGGGAAAUCCACGCGCUCAACGCGUGGGCGUCCAGCGGAAACUGUUCGGCUUGGGGCCGGAGGACCCGAGGGGUACGUCCGGGGUAGGAGUGAAAUCCUGUAAUCCUGGACGGACCGCCGGUGGCGAAAGCACUUCGAGAAAACGGAUCCGACAGUGAGGGACGAAAGCCAGGGUCUCCAACCGGAUUAGAUACCCGGGUAGUCC
Molecule: ribosomal RNA, 293 nt
Filed under: uncultured bacterium
Lineage: Bacteria
Description: partial 16S ribosomal RNA
Rfam family: Archaeal small subunit ribosomal RNA
Source: RNAcentral